GAGGGAGGGUGAGAGAGGGAGAAAUGAAGAGACUCUCAGAGCAUCUUUCCUCCUGGUAGAGCAAGGGUGAGAGAGGGAGAAAUGGUGUGAGGGUGAGAGAGAGGGAGGGAGGGUGAGAGAGAGGGAGGGAGGGUGAGAGAGAGGGAGGGAGGGUGAGAGAGAGGGAGGGAGGGUGAGAGAGAGGGAGAGAGGGAGGGAGGGUGAGAGGGAGGGAGGGAGGGAGGGUGAGAGAGAGGGAGGGAGGGUGAGAGAGGGAGAAAUGAAGAGACUCAGAGAGCCUUUCCUCCUGGGGGAUUGGUUUGGAGUUGGACGUCUGGGGAAACAUCUCAAAUGGUUCCCUAUUCCCUUUAUAGUGCACUACAUUAGGUCCUGGUUAAUGGGAUUAGUGCACUACAUUAGGUCCUGGUCAAUGGGAUUAGUGCACUACAUUAGGUCCUGGUUAAUGGGAUUAGUGCACUACAUUAGGUCCUGGUUAAUGGGAUUAGUGCACUACAUUAGGUCCUGGUCAAUGGGAUUAGUGCACUACAUUAGGUCCUGGUCAAUGGGAUUAGUGCACUACAUUAGGUCCUGGUUAAUGGGAUUAGUGCACUACAUUAGGUCCCGGUCAAUGGGAUUAGUGCACUACAUUAGGGCCUGGUCAAUGGGAUUAGUGCACUACAUUAGGUCCUGGUCAAUGGGAUUAGUGCACUACAUUAGGUCCUGGUUAAUGGGAUUAGUGCACUACAUUAGGUCCUGGUUAAUGGGAUUAGUGCACUACAUUAGGUCCUGGUUAAUGGGAUUAGUGCACUACAUUAGGUCCUGGUUAAUGGGAUUAGUGCACUACAUUAGGUCCUGGUUAAUGGGAUUAGUGCACUACAUUAGGUCCUGGUUAAUGGGAUUAGUGCACUGCAUUAGGUCCUGGUUAAUGGGAUUAGUGCACUACAUUAGGUCCUGGUUAAUGGGAUUAGUGCACUACAUUAGGUCCUGGUUAAUGGGAUUAGUGCACUACAUUAGGUCCUGGUUAAUGGGAUUAGUGCACUACAUUAGGUCCUGGUUAAUGGGAUUAGUGCACUACAUUAGGUCCUGGUCAAUGGGAUUAGUGCACUACAUUAGGUCCUGGUUAAUGGGAUUAGUGCACUACAUUAGGUCCUGGUUAAUGGGAUUAGUGCACUACAUUAGGUCCUGGUUAAUGGGAUUAGUGCACUACAUUAGGUCCCGGUCAAUGGGAUUAGUGCACUACAUUAGGUCCUGGUUAAUGGGAUUAGUGCACUACAUUAGGUCCUGGUUAAUGGGAUUAGUGCACUACAUUAGGUCCCGGUCAAUGGGAUUAGUGCACUUAGGAAGGGAAUAGUGUUCGAUUUGGGACGUAUCCCGAGUGUGUUGAGCUCAGAGGAGACCCCAGGACGUCCUGAAUGGAACCCUAUCCAGUCCUGCACUACGUCUGACCAGAUGCCCCAUAAGGGGCUAGUGCACUUAGGGGAAUAUAGUGCUAUUUGGGAUACACGAACCGUGUCUUCGAUUCUACUGCCAAAAUCAUUGUAAUAUAAGCAUGAAGAAAAAAAAUUUUUUUUUUUAUGGAAUUAAAAACUGGAUAAAAUACAAUGUAUGUUGCUUGAAUUUGACAGUUUAUAUUUAAAUAGAGCAAUGCGUCUCCCGAGACAUUUCAAUGAGAGGGAAAACUGUCGCCGAGGAGUCGUCCCAAAUAGCACUACUUUCGAGUGACUCUUUUUUUGGGGGGGGUGCACUCGAUGGUCAUUUUUCACAGCAAUGAAUGUAUUAGCUGAUUAACAUGUAUGUGUAAUUGCUGGUGACGGUAUGCUCUUGGCUAUUAUGGGAUGGGUAGUGGCUUAAGCUCAAGGUACGCUGUGCGAUAUGACGUUGUCGUGCACCGGGGGGGGGGGGGGCGCGAACUUCCUGUUUUAAAGACAACGACAAUUAUAAUCUUCCAAGAUUGAGGCUGUGAUUCAAUCUGAUCGCAGGUUGUAGGCAAAUGUCCCAGCGUUUCGCAGAGAUCCCAUUCACAGUCAACGAGGCUCAGUCAGAAAUGUGCCUUUUUUAAAAGGCCUCAAAGCCUACAUCCCACGAUCAGAUUCAAUCCCGGCCUGAUUCUUCCAAAAGUAGAACUCCUGGCAGAAUUGUAUUUUGUUUGUUGUGAUUUGUUGUUGUUGUCUGUAAACAGGAAGUUACCCUGCUAUGUUUGAUGAUGUCACAAUGCUGAGACUUCCGUUUGAUCUCCCACCAAAUGGGCGGGAAAGGAAAAAUAAGGACAUUCGCACACUUGCUAAACAUUAUCUACAUCCCGUACAGCACCCUACUCCCUACAUAGUGCACUACGUUUGACCAGGACCAAAAGGGAUAAAGUAGUGCACUACGUUUGACCAGGGCCUAUAGGGAUAAAGUAGUGCACUACGUUUGACCAGGGCCUAUAGGGAUAAAGUAGUGCACUACUUUUGGCCAGGGCCUAUAAGGGACAAAGUAGUGCACUACUUUUGGCCAGGACCUAUAAGGGACAAAGUAGUGCACUACUUUUGGCCAGGGCCUAUAAGGGACAAAGUAGUGCACUACUUUUGGCCAGGGCCUAUAAGGGACAAAGUAGUGCACUACUUUUGGCCAGGGCCUAUAAGGGACAAAGUAGUGCACUACUUUUGGCCAGGGCCUAUAAGGGACAAAGUAGUGCACUACUUUUGGCCAGGGCCUAAGGGACAAAGUAGUGCACUACUUUUGGCCAGGGCCUAUAAGGGACAAAGUAGUGCACUACUUUUGGCCAGGGCCUAUAAGGGACAAAGUAGUGCACUACUUUUGGCCAGGGCCUAUAAGGGACAAAGUAGUGCACUACUUUUGGCCAGGGCCUAUAAUGGACAAGGUAGUGCACUACUUUUGGCCAGGGCCUAUAAUGGACAAGGUAGUGCACUACUUUUGGCCAGGGCCUAUAAUGGACAAGGUAGUGCACUACUUUUGGCCAGGGCCUGUAAGGGACAAGGUAGUGCACUACUUUUGGCCAUGGCCUGUAAUUGACAAGGUAGUGCACUACUUUUGGCCAGGGCCUGUAAGGGACAAGGUAGUGCACUACUUUUGGCCAGGGCCUGUAAGGGACAAGGUAGUGCACUACUUUUGGCCAGGGCCUGUAAGGGACAAGGUAGUGCACUACUUUUGGCCAGGGCCUGUAAGGGACAAAGUAGUGCACUACUUUUGGCCAGGGCCUGUAAGGGACAAAGUAGUGCACUACUUUUGGCCAGGGCCUGUAAGGGACAAAGUAGUGCACUACUUUUGGCCAGGGCCUGUAAGGGACAAAGUAGUGCACUUUUCUUGGAUAAAAGUAGUGAACUAUAUAGGGAAUAUGGUGCCGUUCUUCAUAAUUUAUGCAUCUUGAAUUUUCUAUUCCCGCUGUAUAAUGAAUGUAAAGGUAGAAUUGUAUUUUUUUUAAAUGUUGGAAACAAUAAAUGUAAAUUUGGGAUUGGUUUAAA
Oncorhynchus masou masou (cherry salmon) is the source of this 3443-nucleotide long non-coding RNA. RefSeq lists it as uncharacterized. The transcript is spliced from 2 exons. The record is from RefSeq and is a predicted model, not a curated record. NCBI's taxonomy places the organism in Eukaryota, Metazoa, Chordata, Actinopteri, Salmoniformes, Salmonidae.